GACGAACGCUGGCGGCGUGCUUAACACAUGCAAGUCGAACGGAAAGGCCCUUCGGGGUACUCGAGUGGCGAACGGGUGAGUAACACGUGGGUGAUCUGCCCUGCACUUUGGGAUAAGCCUGGGAAACUGGGUCUAAUACCGAAUAGGACCACGCGCUUCAUGGUGUGUGGUGGAAAAGCUUUUGCGGUGUGGGAUGGGCCCGCGGCCUAUCAGCUUGUUGGUGGGGUAAUGGCCUACCAAGGCGACGACGGGUAGCCGGCCUGAGAGGGUGACCGGCCACACUGGGACUGAGAUACGGCCCAGACUCCUACGGGAGGCAGCAGUGGGGAAUAUUGCACAAUGGGCGCAAGCCUGAUGCGGCGACGCCGCGUGAGGGAUGACGGGCCUUCGGGUUGUAACGUACUUCUAUAGGUACGGAAGACGUGAGUGACGGUA
This 435-nucleotide ribosomal RNA is filed under the name uncultured bacterium. RNAcentral describes it as "bacterial SSU rRNA". It matches the Rfam family "Bacterial small subunit ribosomal RNA", at positions 28 to 477 of the family's 1533-position model. The record is from RNAcentral.